CUAGUGGCGCACGGGUGAGUAACAUGUGGGAAUCUACCUGAAGGUUCGGAAUAACUGCGGGAAACUGUAGCUAAUACCGGAUGUGUCUGCAAAGAGAAAGAUUUAUCGCCUUCAGAUGAGCCCGCACUAGAUUAGCUAGUUGGUGAGGUAAUUGCUCCACCAAGGCUACGAUCUAUAGCUGAUUUGAGAGGAUGAUCAGCCACACUGGGACUGAGACACGGCCCAGACUCCUACGGGAGGCAGCAGUAGGGAAUAUUGGACAAUGGGGGAAACCCUGAUCCAGCAAUGCCGCGUGAGUGAAGAAGGCCUUCGGGUUGUAAAGCUCUUUCAUCAAUGAUGAUAAUGACAUUAGUUGAAGAAGAAGCCCCGGCUAACUUCGUGCCAGCAGCCGCGGUAAUACGAAGGGGGCUAGCGUUGUUCGGAAUCACUGGGCGUAAAGCGUAUGUAGGCGGAUCAAAAAGUUAGAUGUGAAAUCCCUGG
Molecule: ribosomal RNA, 480 nt
Filed under: uncultured Alphaproteobacteria bacterium
Lineage: Bacteria; Pseudomonadati; Pseudomonadota; Alphaproteobacteria
Description: bacterial SSU rRNA
Rfam family: Bacterial small subunit ribosomal RNA
Source: RNAcentral